UGUGACUGCGUACCUUUUGUAUAAUGGGUCAGCGACUUAUAUUCUGUAGCAAGGUUAACCGUAUAGGGGAGCCGGAGGGAAACCGAGUCUUAAUUGGGCGUUAAGUUGCAGGGUAUAGACCCGAAACCCGGUGAUCUAGCCAUGGGCAGGUUGAAGGUUGGGUAACACUAACUGGAGGACCGAACCGACUAAUGUUGAAAAAUUAGCGGAUGACCUGUGGCUGGGGGUGAAAGGCCAAUCAAACCGGGAGAUAGCUGGUUCUCCCCGAAAGCUAUUUAGGUAGCGCCUCGUGAAUUCAUCUCCGGGGGUAGAGCACUGUUUCGGCUAGGGGGCCAUCCCGGCUUACCAACCCGAUGCAAACUGCGAAUACCGGAGAAUGUUAUCACGGGAGACACACGGCGGGUGCUAACGUCCGUCGUGAAGAGGGAAACAACCCAGACCGCCAGCUAAGGUCCCAAAGUCAUGGUUAAGUGGGAAACGAUGUGGGAAGGCCCAGACAGCCAGGAUGUUGGCUUAGAAGCAGCCAUCAUUUAAAGAAAGCGUAAUAGCUCACUGGUCGAGUCGGCCUGCGCGGAAGAUGUAACGGGGCUAAACCAU
Molecule: ribosomal RNA, 597 nt
Filed under: Salmonella enterica
Lineage: Bacteria; Pseudomonadati; Pseudomonadota; Gammaproteobacteria; Enterobacterales; Enterobacteriaceae
Description: partial 23S ribosomal RNA
Rfam family: Bacterial large subunit ribosomal RNA
Source: RNAcentral